GAUGAACGCUGGCGGCGUGCCUAAUACAUGCAAGUCGAGCGAACGGACGAGAAGCUUGCUUUUCUGAUGUUAGCGGCGGACGGGUGAGUAACACGUGGAUAACCUACCUAUAAGACUGGGAUAACUUCGGGAAACCGGAGCUAAUACCGGAUAAUAUUUUGAACCGCAUGGUUCAAAAGUGAAAGACGGUCUUGCUGUCACUUAUAGAUGGAUCCGCGCUGCAUUAGCUAGUUGGUAAGGUAACGGCUUACCAAGGCAACGAUGCAUAGCAGACCUGAGAGGGUGAUCGGCCACACUGGAACUGAGACACGGUCCAGACUCCUACGGGAGGCAGCAGUAGGGAAUCUUCCGCAAUGGGCGAAAGCCUGACGGAGCAACGCCGCGUGAGUGAUGAAGGUCUUCGGAUCGUAAAACUCUGUUAUUAGGGAAGAACAUAUGUGUAAGUAACUGUGCACAUCUUGACGGUACCUAAUCAGAAAGCCACGGCUAACUACGUG
RNAcentral lists this ribosomal RNA (497 nucleotides) under uncultured bacterium. RNAcentral describes it as "partial 16S ribosomal RNA". It matches the Rfam family "Bacterial small subunit ribosomal RNA", at positions 28 to 507 of the family's 1533-position model. The record is from RNAcentral.